Molecule: ribosomal RNA, 450 nt
Filed under: uncultured bacterium
Lineage: Bacteria
Description: bacterial SSU rRNA
Rfam family: Bacterial small subunit ribosomal RNA
Source: RNAcentral
GUGGGGAAUUUUGGACAAUGGGCGCAAGCCUGAUCCAGCCAUGCCGCGUGCAGGAUGAAGGCCUUCGGGUUGUAAACUGCUUUUGUACGGAACGAAAAGACCUUUUCUAAUAAAGAGGGUCCAUGACGGUACCGUAAGAAUAAGCACCGGCUAACUACGUGCCAGCAGCCGCGGUAAUACGUAGGGUGCAAGCGUUAAUCGGAAUUACUGGGCGUAAAGCGUGCGCAGGCGGUAAUGUAAGACAGAUGUGAAAUCCCCGGGCUCAACCUGGGAACUGCAUUUGUGACUGCAUUGCUGGAGUGCGGCAGAGGGGGAUGGAAUUCCGCGUGUAGCAGUGAAAUGCGUAGAUAUGCGGAGGAACACCGAUGGCGAAGGCAAUCCCCUGGGCCUGCACUGACGCUCAUGCACGAAAGCGUGGGGAGCAAACAGGAUUAGAAACCCUAGUAGUCC